Coregonus clupeaformis (lake whitefish) is the source of this 641-nucleotide long non-coding RNA. RefSeq lists it as uncharacterized. The transcript is spliced from 4 exons. NCBI's taxonomy places the organism in Eukaryota, Metazoa, Chordata, Actinopteri, Salmoniformes, Salmonidae. The record is from RefSeq and is a predicted model, not a curated record.
GGUAAUGAUUGUCUUACAGGGGAGGCUGAAACCUGUCACCUCACAAGCACGGCGGACAGGCGCAUUUAUCGACAUGAUACAGUCACACAUUCUCACAUGUUGGUCGUUGGCUGUCGUAUGAAAAGCGCCACCACUUGUGGACAUCAUAAUGGUGGGAGUUAACUGUCGCUGAUAGUCUGACCGAUUUGCAACAAUGUUGCCCUCACCUAUCAUUUUGACCAGAUCGGCUAUCCAAUUGGUGUCAAGGUCAUCUGUGGUGCCCUUGCCGGAAUGUCUCCGUUGGAGGGUGGAAACCGCGGAAGGUUCCACCAAGAUACCUCGGCCAGCUAAGCCCCUUCACUCAUCCACACCUCAUCAAAAAUGAUGAGGUGACCCCUGGCUUAACCCAAACAGAGUUUGAUCUCCGUCGGCAAAGACUGGCCUCUCUCAUCGAGGUUCAGGCAGAUCGGCUGGGACCCACUGCUUCCUCCAACAAACACCUCGUCAUUGUCCUCUCCCACUCAAUCCGCUACAUGACCAAUGACAUCCCCUACCCCUUCCACCAGAACCAGGACUUCCUCUACCUUUACAUGUACAUUUACAUCAUUUAGCAGACGCUCUUAUCCAGAGCGACUUACAAAUUGGUGCAUUCAACUUAUGAU